Molecule: non-coding RNA, 519 nt
Organism: Mauremys mutica (yellowpond turtle)
Lineage: Eukaryota; Metazoa; Chordata; Testudines; Geoemydidae
Source: the annotation of a RefSeq genome assembly
AUGGUCCUUUGUCUCCGUUUGUUUUUCAUUGUAGCCAAUUUAGAAGGUGUCCAGUCGCAGGUGCAGCUGGUGGAGUCUGGAGGGGGUGUGAAAAAGCCCGGAGACUCUCUCCGCCUCUCCUGCAAAGCCUCCGGCUUCACCUUCAGCAGCCACCGGAUGAGCUGGGUCCGCCAGGCUCCCGGGAAGGGGCUGGAGUGGGUCGCCUACAUUUACAGCACCAGCAUAUACUACAGUGACUCGGUAAAAGGGCGAUUCACCAUCUCCAGAGAUGACCCCAACAGUCUGUUGUACCUGGAAAUGACCGGCCUGAAGCCCGAGGACACCGCCUGGUAUCACUGUGCGGGAUUCAGAGUGAGGCGAAGCCGGGCUGAGCUCAGACAAAAACCUCCCACUGCGAUUAGCACAGAAACUCCCGGCUGCUUUGAUGCCGCCAGUCCAGCUGCUGCGGGUUCUCACCAGCGAGUCAGUCUGUUCGGUCUGGAACGGUUCGGAUUCACCGGCUGCUUUAGGCAACCCUAG